GAUGAACGCUGACAGAAUGCUUAACACAUGCAAGUCUUUGGCGAAGCUGUGCUCGCACAGCCUAGCCAAGGCGGACGGGUGAGUAACGCGUAAGGAACUUGCCCUGCAGUCAGGGAUAACAGACGGAAACGACUGAUAAGACCUGGUAAAGUCAGGCGGACUCAUGUCCAGCCUGAUGAAAAGAGAUGCUGCAGGAGAGCCUUGCGUCCUAUUAGCUUGUUGGUGGGGUAACGGCCCACCAAGGCGAUGAUAGGUAGCCGGCCUGAGAGGGUGGACGGCCAAAAGGGGACUGAGAUACGGCCCUUACUCCUACGGGAGGCAGCAGGGGGGAAUAUUGGACAAUGGGGGCAACCCUGAUCCAGCAAUUCUGUGUGCACGAUGAAGGUUUUCGGAUUGUAAAGUGCUUUCAGCAGGGAAGAAAAAAAUGACGGUGCCUGCAGAAGAAGCGACGGCUAAAUACG
Molecule: ribosomal RNA, 461 nt
Filed under: uncultured bacterium
Lineage: Bacteria
Description: partial 16S ribosomal RNA
Rfam family: Bacterial small subunit ribosomal RNA
Source: RNAcentral